CCUACGUGGUGCAGCAGUGAGGAAUAUUGGUCAAUGGGCGCGAGCCUGAACCAGCCAAGUCGCGUGAAGGAUGACUGCCCUACGGGUUGUAAACUUCUUUUAUAAGGGAAUAAAGUGAGGCACGUGUGCCUUUUUGUAUGUACUUUAUGAAUAAGGAUCGGAUAACUCCGUGCCAGCAGCCGCGGUAAUACGGAGGAUCCGAGCGUUAUCCGGAUUUAUUGGGGUUAAAGGGAGCGUAGAUGGGUUGUUAAGUCAGUUGUGAAAGUUUGCGGCUCAACCGUAAAAUUGCAAUUGAUACUGGCAGCCUUGAGUACAGUUGAGGGAGGCGGAAUUCGUGGUGUAGCGGUGAAAUGCUUAGAUAUCACGAAGAACUCCGAUUGCGAAGGCAGCUUACUAAACUGCCACUGACAUUGAGGCUCGAAAGUGUGGGUAUCAAACAGGAUUAGAUACCCUAGUAGUC
This 460-nucleotide ribosomal RNA is filed under the name uncultured bacterium. Its description in RNAcentral is "partial 16S ribosomal RNA". It matches the Rfam family "Bacterial small subunit ribosomal RNA", at positions 338 to 795 of the family's 1533-position model. The record is from RNAcentral.